Long non-coding RNA from Oncorhynchus keta (chum salmon), 177 nucleotides. RefSeq lists it as uncharacterized. NCBI's taxonomy places the organism in Eukaryota, Metazoa, Chordata, Actinopteri, Salmoniformes, Salmonidae. The record is from RefSeq and is a predicted model, not a curated record. The transcript is spliced from 3 exons.
GGACGCUACCAAAGGUUAGCCUCUGAUGUUCACUGUAAUGGGUAUGGACGCUACCAAAGGUUACCCUCUGAUGUUCACUGUAAUGGGUACAGACGCUACCAAAGGUUAGCCUCUGAUGUUCACUGUAAUGGGUACGGACGCUACCAAAGGUUAGCCUCUGAUGUUCACUGUAAUGGG